UGUCCUGUAGUGUAAUUGGCAACACGUCUGACUCUGGAUCAGAAGAGUAAAGGUUCGAGCCCUUUCAGGACAA
This 73-nucleotide transfer RNA is filed under the name Prolixibacteraceae bacterium. Its description in RNAcentral is "tRNA-Gln". It matches the Rfam family "tRNA". From Rfam's summary of the family: Transfer RNA (tRNA) molecules are approximately 80 nucleotides in length. Their secondary structure includes four short double-helical elements and three loops (D, anti-codon, and T loops). Further hydrogen bonds mediate the characteristic L-shaped molecular structure. tRNAs have two regions of fundamental functional importance: the anti-codon, which is responsible for specific mRNA codon recognition, and the 3' end, to which the tRNAs corresponding amino acid is attached (by aminoacyl-tRNA synthetases). tRNAs cope with the degeneracy of the genetic code in two manners: having more than one tRNA (with a specific anti-codon) for a particular amino acid; and 'wobble' base-pairing, i.e. permitting non-standard base-pairing at the 3rd anti-codon position. The record is from RNAcentral. Lineage: Bacteria; Pseudomonadati; Bacteroidota; Bacteroidia; Marinilabiliales; Prolixibacteraceae.